RNAcentral lists this long non-coding RNA (507 nucleotides) under Phoenix dactylifera (date palm). RNAcentral describes it as "long non-coding RNA (PDAC_LNC021595)". Lineage: Eukaryota; Viridiplantae; Streptophyta; Magnoliopsida; Arecales; Arecaceae. The record is from RNAcentral.
AAGAAGCCCUACUCUACUCCAACUCAAACGUGUUUGAGGGCUCUUAACUUCUCUCUAGUUUAUAUUGUUAUUUAUCUGCUUUUGAGAAGCUCUGUUUUUCUGUUUGUUGUCAUUAUUUCCAUCUUGUCUUUGCUUGGUUCAAUCGGGGGAUUGAAUCAAGGGUGUAGAGGUUGGUUGGUGAGCCGAGUGUAAAACCAACGUGUAAGGGUUCGAUUGUGAUCCCGGGAAAACAAUCGGAGUGGUUCUAGUCGGUGAGCCAGGAAAAACCGACCGAGUUCGUUUUGAGCUCGUAAAACAACAAGUUUGGUUGUGAGCUUGUAAAACAACCGGCUGUAAUCCAAGGGGUUAUAGUGAAUUCCCAAGUGAGACUUGGGGAGUAGACGUAGGAGCAAGGGUUAGCUCCGAACCACUAUAAAAGCCUUGUGUUUGUGAUUGUUUGUCUCUUUCUUUUACUCUCAUUUCAUUCACAGCACAUAGCAAUUAAUUAAUCAUCUUGGUAAAGCAUUA